UGGUGUUAAUUGGUGCAUUUGCGGAAGGAGUGCGCUGAGUGGCAUGGUGCAGCGGUUUGAUGUUGGUUAAGAGGCUAUGCUUCGGUGUAGAACCUGAUCCUUCGUAAGGCCGAUUGUGCUGUGUUGAAUCGACUAUGGCUUACGUGAUAAGUUGUCGGCUUUGUGGGGUCUUGUGGCGGUCGCAUGCGACACGUGCUUGAUUCUGUCCUGCUGGCGGCGGUUCACUCUUAGUCUAGCUCGGUGUAAAAGCUGGUCAUCUAUCCGACCCGUCUUGAAACACGGACCAAGGAGUUUAGCGUGUACGCGAGUCAUUGAGUGUAAAACUCAUAGGCGCAAUGAAAGUAAAGGCCAUUCUGUGGCUGAUAUGCGACCCUGCGUGUUUCGGCAUGUGGGAGCAGCAUAGCCCAGUCUCUAUUGCUUGCAAUGGGGCUGAGGUAGAGCGUAUUCGCUGAGACCCGAAAGAUGGUGAACUAUGCCUGAGCAGGAUGAAGCCAGAGGAAACUCUGGUGGAAGUCCGAAGCGGUUCUGACGUGCAAAUCGAUCGUCUGACUUGGGUAUA
This 559-nucleotide ribosomal RNA is filed under the name Cephalenchus daisuce. RNAcentral's name for it is "eukaryotic LSU rRNA". It matches the Rfam family "Eukaryotic large subunit ribosomal RNA", at positions 465 to 919 of the family's 3401-position model. Lineage: Eukaryota; Metazoa; Nematoda; Chromadorea; Rhabditida; Tylenchidae. The record is from RNAcentral.